UACAGAGGUGGCAAGCGUUGUUCGGAAUUACUGGGCGUAAAGGGCGCGUAGGCGGCUUGGUCAGUCCCGUGUGAAAUCCCUCGGCUCAACUGAGGAACUGCACGGGAAACUGCCUGGCUUGAGUUCGGGAGAGGGAAGCGGAAUUCCGGGUGUAGCGGUGAAAUGCGUAGAUAUCUGGAGGAAUACCGGUGGCGAAGGCGGCAUCCUGGACCGACAUUGACGCUGAUGAGCGAAAGCUAGGGGAGCAAACGGG
Molecule: ribosomal RNA, 253 nt
Filed under: uncultured bacterium
Lineage: Bacteria
Description: partial 16S ribosomal RNA
Rfam family: Bacterial small subunit ribosomal RNA
Source: RNAcentral